This 424-nucleotide ribosomal RNA is filed under the name uncultured prokaryote. RNAcentral's name for it is "bacterial SSU rRNA". It matches the Rfam family "Bacterial small subunit ribosomal RNA", at positions 355 to 796 of the family's 1533-position model. The record is from RNAcentral.
UGGGGAAUAUUGGACAAUGGGGGCAACCCUGAUCCAGCCAUGCCGCGUGGGUGACGAAGGCCCUAGGGUUGUAAAGCCCUUUCACCCGUGACGAUGAUGACGGUAGCGGGAGAAGAAGCCCCGGCUAACUCCGUGCCAGCAGCCGCGGUAAGACGGAGGGGGCUAGCGUUGUUCGGAAUUACUGGGCGUAAAGCGCGCGUAGGCGGCUGAUCAAGUCAGGUGUGAAAGGCCCGGGCUCAACCUGGGAACUGCACUUGAGACUGGUUGGCUCGAGUCCGGGAGAGGGUGGUGGAACUCCCAGUGUAGAGGUGAAAUUCGUAGAUAUUGGGAAGAACACCGGUGGCGAAGGCGGCCACCUGGCCCGGCACUGACGCUGAGGCGCGAAAGCGUGGGGAGCAAACAGGAUUAGAUACCCCCGUAGUCC